RNAcentral lists this long non-coding RNA (809 nucleotides) under Nicotiana tabacum (common tobacco). RNAcentral describes it as "long non-coding RNA (NTAB_LNC002525)". Lineage: Eukaryota; Viridiplantae; Streptophyta; Magnoliopsida; Solanales; Solanaceae. The record is from RNAcentral.
GCUUGUUCUAUUAAUUGGCCGUGUCAGUAUUUAGGAUGCAAUUAUUGCUACUGUCUUUGUGGCUUUUCGACCAAGUUCAACUGGAUUCAUUUGCAAAAACACAGCAAUCUACUAGGUAGUUUUAUUGUUGACAAGGCCAGCACUUCGUGGAGAGAAUUAAAACAAAAUCUACGUGCAAAGAAAGUACAAGUUCCACUUAUUUUAUAGAAGUUAAAAACUUGGAAAUCAGAAGACAGAUUCUUAUGCAAAAGAACGUAUGUUACCUUUGAUGUUCUCCAAAAAAAUAAACCUGUGGAAUUGCUUCACCCUUCGAACUUCAAAGGAGAGUCAACUAGUAUAAUGCCCUUGACUUCAAGCAAGCAAGACAUAAUGGAGGGAACUAAAGCCAGGUAACUGUAAGUUUUUUACUAUUUUCUUUUCUCCAUUUUUCUACCUUCCGAAAAGUCUCAUCCAGAACAUAGCAGCCAUUCUCAAAAACACAGUUAUCGCCAAAAUGAUGCAUGCAAGUGAGCUCUAUGCCAAAAGAAUAGGCACUCUUAUCAUUGCCAUAUUACCUACUCAGGAAUUAGAUGCAUGUAAUGCUAGAUACUCCACAAAGCUAAGAAAAUAGAAAUGAGAACUUCUCCAUUGACACUCAAUCAUCCUUUUUGUGGCUUUGCAAAGAGAAAACAGGGUCACCCAGAUGAUCCUCAUCAGCAGAUUUUGCAGUAAGAGAGCUGUCAUCGCCAGUGGCUGCAGAUGAAUCACUCUGCCUGGUGGUUCUGGUCAACUUAGAUUGAGAGAUCCCAGGAAGUUCAGUUCCAGAAUUC